This 1363-nucleotide long non-coding RNA is filed under the name Homo sapiens (human). RNAcentral describes it as "HSALNT0380677". Lineage: Eukaryota; Metazoa; Chordata; Mammalia; Primates; Hominidae. The record is from RNAcentral.
UGCAGAUCAAAGCAGAACAGGGUUCAUUGCUAAGAUGCUGUUUGCCUCUCCCACAGCUGAUGGUUCUUUCUUGGAUUUUCCUUGCCAGUAGUUUACUCUUUUAGGUUCUAAACAGUUUGUUUUUAAAAGUCACAAAACAGGUAUAACACCUACUAUUGCAAUAGGGCAAGCAUUAAUUCUCAUUGAAAUGUUUUUAAUUUUGGACAUAGGAUGCCCUCUUUUUAACUAUGAUUUAAAUCUAAGCCUCUAUAUAGAGCUUAGGCCAAAGGCCUUGUCUGGACAGAUGACUAAUACAUCACUUGUUCUCUCUCAAAGCAGACAGAUGAUCUGAAAGGAUGGUGUGUAUAGUCUGAGACUAUUAAAUUUGAGUCCAGCAAUAAAAUCCAGUUUAAAUGGUGUGACCAUAUGACAUGGUUCAGCCAGCAGAAUGUUGAGUGGAAGCGAUGUAACUUUGGAGGCAAAGAUGUAAGAGCCAGUGAGUGGUCUGCCAUGUUGCCUUCCUACUGCUGCAGAGAUCUUGGAAAUUCCUGGCAAGAUGAAGCCUCCAUCAUCUGGGUUCCUGGGGAACUCUGAUCAGCCUCUGCUGACCCAUGUUAGACAUGCAGUGUCUCCUUCCAGACACAACUGAGCUCAACAAAUUGGUGCUGAGUGACUGAGAGAGGCAUGUAGUCCUAGCCCCAGCUUUGACUGUAAUCAGCUGUGUCGACCUUGUUCAAGUCAGCCCUCUGGGCCUCCAUCCCCUCACCAGGAGAAUACUGGUCAUUUUAAUAAAUGGACCCAGCAACUAGGUGGUCACUAUUUUUAGCACGGAGGUGAAGACUGUAUCUGUUGGUAGGGGUAGGGGCUAAGUGGAAUAAGGGUUUCAUUUCUCAGGAAAGCACAUUAGCCAGUGAGGGUCUGUUGGCAUCUGACAUGUUGACAAGUUCUCUUGCAUAGAACUAAUAUUCUUUGGGAUCACAUAUGGAUUGCAGUGAGGAAAGGAUGAACCUGUACUCUUUCUGUACCUGAUGAUCAACUGAAAUCUCUCUCCCUUUGACUCUGCUUAGUUGCCCCAGUUGAAAGGUUUUGGGUCAGCACAGCUUAUCUCUAGAAUCACAGUGACUUCUGGGCCAGGACCACUUCAAGGAUUUAGGUAUGUUCUGGGCUAGGGCAGUAGAAUCUAUUUUGGGAUUUCCCAGAGCCAUUCAAAGCUUACCCCAGAAUGAAUUCAAACUCUGAGAGGACAUAUCCUCUCCCCGCCCCCGCACCCCCCCCCCUUUUUUUUUUUGAGGAAGAUUUUAAAAAGAGUUGUUGAAGCCUAAUGAUUAUCAGGGGUAUGAGGAUUAUCAGGGGUAUGAGGGUAGAAUGAGAGAGACAGAGAGAG